Long non-coding RNA from Diorhabda sublineata, 270 nucleotides. RefSeq lists it as uncharacterized. NCBI's taxonomy places the organism in Eukaryota, Metazoa, Arthropoda, Insecta, Coleoptera, Chrysomelidae. The record is from RefSeq and is a predicted model, not a curated record. The transcript has 2 exons.
GACAGUUGACAUUCUAUAAUAAAUUAAUACAAAUUUUAUUAAUGUAACUGUUUUAAAAUGUUUGAUUUUGGAGAUACCGUAGCUUUAUUAUUAGGAUUAUUUAUAAGUGUCAUAAUAAUUUUAGCAUGCUUAGGUGCAUAUGCAAGAAAAAAAGCAUAUUUGGAACCACUUUGAAGAUUUGGAGGUGAUUCGAAAUAAAAAUAGGAUUAAGUAUAUUAAUAUUUUUGUAUCUAUUGUAAUAUGACAAAAUAAAAAAAGAACAAAAAAACA